GCGUCUGCGGAGGAUGCAGCCUGUUCCUGAAAACGGUUUUGCAGACAACCGGAACAAGUACCAUCCUGUAUCACAAGCACAGCUUGUUUCAAAGCC
RNAcentral lists this small RNA (96 nucleotides) under bovine gut metagenome. RNAcentral describes it as "RT-5 RNA". It matches the Rfam family "RT-5 RNA". Rfam says of the family: Clostridium (Firmicutes). The record is from RNAcentral.